This is a long non-coding RNA of Oreochromis aureus, 248 nucleotides long. RefSeq lists it as uncharacterized. The transcript is spliced from 2 exons. NCBI's taxonomy places the organism in Eukaryota, Metazoa, Chordata, Actinopteri, Cichliformes, Cichlidae. The record is from RefSeq and is a predicted model, not a curated record.
AGACCACUCCACAGCCGAGAGUCAGCACACUGCAACAGCAUCAUCCACCCUCAAAAAGAUACUGGUUCCCGGCAUCACUAAAAAGGGAAAAGAGUUCAUCAGCCUGAUUACCUCCACCUAGACCUCAGCCUCCAUGGCACUACCCUUCAAGCCUGCUGCACCACCCCUCCGCUGCAGUGGAGCCAAACACCACACCCCCGCCACACACACCCCUGUGAGCGAGAGAGAAAAAAAAAAAAAAAAAAAAA